AAUAUUAAUAAUAAUAAUAAUAAAAUCGAUCGAGAGGAUAAACUCGCAAUUAAGAUUCUAAAAUGUGCAAGAAUUAUUGCAAGAACUACUUUACAGCAAGAGUGGUAUGUGGACAAGCAAAAGAGAAUGAUUCCCAACAAGUGGUGAACAAAAUAACUUCCCAUGAAAUAUUAUUGUUCAGAUAUCUCAAAAAUAUACACAUAUACAAGAAUCAUACAUCACAUCUAAGUUAGCCCACCCUAGCUGGAUGAGACCCAUCUCCCUCUCAGCUCUCCAGUGCCUCCUCCCAAGCCAAAUGACAAGUUAACCCAUCAGAGUUCAUCAAAAUAUAUAUCGAAUAGAAGAACACUCACCCUUGCAAUUAAAAUUUUAUAAUACCAUAAUAGAAUUGAAAUGAAUAAGGAAGACGAGUACAGAAUGGACACUCGAUAUAUAUAUUAGCCUGAAGCUGAAACUAAAAGGGACAACUUCAAUUAGUCUACGUACUAUAAUGGUUACACUACACUAUAAAUGACCUGAAAAACAGAAAGCACAUGAAUUUUGACUCUGAAAUUACAAAUGAGAUCUCCAUCAAACACAAACUCCCAACAACAUAUAGUUACUUGAUAAAGAUCAAGGGGAAGAAAAGAAGAAAAUAAAAGGAUUUAUACACACGGUCAAUUGAUCGAUGCCGCCUUAAUUAUGGUUUGAGCCCAGAAUCAUCCCAGGGUAUAUUGAGAUCAGUGGAGACAAAAGUAUCUAUAUCAUCCCAGUUCCAAUAACUUGUCAUGUCCACGCCACAGCUUGCAUUUGGCACUUGCCAUAGCUGAUGAGUGAUAAUGUUGCUUGUGGUAGGGAUGACGGUAGUGAUGGUUGAAUCUUCCAUAGCUUCUCCGCUACUGUAGUUAUAAAGAUUUGAGGGCUGCAAGGAGGUGAAAAUUGAAGAUGGGUGUGUUUCAAAAGUGCUUGAGCUUGAAUAAGGAAAGUGCAACCCUUGAUUUUGGGGAAGAGAAAAAGUUGGACCCAUAAAGACACCAUUGUUCCCAGUGUUGAAAUUUUUGCUGGAAAAGUUGCUGCAGCUCAUAGAAUUCUGUUGAAAAGCUAAAGAGAGUGGGCUAAUCAUUGCUUGACACUUAAUUUCAGAUACGCUUUUCUGAUCACCAAGUGUAAGAGGAUGAUUAUGCUUUUGCUGCUGAGCUUGAAUUACCAUUUGGGGAUCAACCCUGUUAAUGAUAUUGCCAUUAUUGGUACUUGUACUAGUGGCGCUUGUAGUGGCGGCUGCGGAGGCGGCUUUGGAAGUGUUUUUUGACGUUUUCAGCCGCUUGUUUUUGCGGCCACCGCCUACAGGAACAUUGCGGAGAGUGCCACCUUUAGUCCAGUGCCUCUUGCAAGUCUUGCAAAAAUGCCUUGGCUGUGACUUGUUGUAGUUGUUAUAGUAACAAAACUUGGUCUUGGUUGAGUCACAUCUCGGGCACUUCAAGGGCUCUGAUUGCUGCUGGUUUUGUUGCUGUUGCCGCCUUACAAGAGGAGGUUUAGGGAGCUCCAAGGUCUGUGCCUGCUGCAAAAGGGUCUGGCUCCAAUCUAACCCAUCACUAGAAACCUGCUUAGAACUCAAACCCAUCUCUUAAAACACCCUAAAAAUCAAUGCGAACCAGCUAACAGUGAUAAAGAAACAAAUUUGUACACGAUUAGAUAAAGCAGAGAUGAAGAAAUCCUAGCCUUUGGAUCGAGGAGCAAGAAGAGAAAUCGAACAAACAGUAAUACUGUAUAGCUUCAAAGUAAUUUGCGAUACGAUGGUAUGAAUGCAAGGAAAUGGCAAGGUAGGUGAUAAGAAAUGAGCAUUUCACUCUGAGUCUCUAUCUUAAUAUCUGCCCUACCAAGCUAUCUAUACAAGUACUAUGUAUCUGUAAAAGGAAACAGUAAUGAUGAUAAUAGGAAUUUAACAAGAUGAAGGUUAACUCGAAGCAGUGCAUGCAUAUGUGGUCCAAGCAAAAGAGAGGGUUUGAUAAUCGGUGGAAAUUAAUACUUGCAGAGGACAUAAUUUUGGCAACAAUGUUAUAGUACCAUUCCCUUGCCUCUUCACACAAUUUUAUAAAGAAAGAGAUUUACUUAGUCCUUAAGGUGAG
Molecule: unclassified non-coding RNA, 2105 nt
Filed under: Hevea brasiliensis (rubber tree)
Lineage: Eukaryota; Viridiplantae; Streptophyta; Magnoliopsida; Malpighiales; Euphorbiaceae
Source: RNAcentral